UCUUUGGUCACUCCUCAAUCUGUUUCACUGAGUCCCUUCUCCCUGCUCUCAGGUAUAUAUGCAGUGACAUAUCGCAGCACUCUCUUAACAUCCAAUUCUUCAGUUGGGCCCUCCCUGUGAUGAUCAUCAGAGAUACCAACAAGAUAUCCCUCUGACAAGUACCAUACCAGUUACCAUGACAGUCUCCCAAUGAGAAACUAAGCACUACACUGGGAAAACCUAUUUUUGAUGACACAUCUAGAGCUGUGUUACAGAAAAAAAACAUCAACUUCUUGUCUACCUGAAAGGGACUUCUGAACAUAUGGACCCAGUUCUAUUUUGCCAGAUAUUUGAAGAGGCAGAAUUCAAUGCAGUCCCUGCAUUUGAGGGUGCAAAGUUUCCAUCAAGGGACAGAAAAUAAUCACACUUGAAUGAGAGAGCACAUAGGAGCUCCAUUUUGAGAUGCAGAUUUCAGAGGACAUGG
This is a long non-coding RNA of Miniopterus natalensis, 463 nucleotides long. RefSeq lists it as uncharacterized. Lineage: Eukaryota; Metazoa; Chordata; Mammalia; Chiroptera; Miniopteridae. The record is from RefSeq and is a predicted model, not a curated record.